This 429-nucleotide ribosomal RNA is filed under the name Gemmatimonadota bacterium. RNAcentral describes it as "Gemmatimonadetes bacterium partial 16S ribosomal RNA". It matches the Rfam family "Bacterial small subunit ribosomal RNA", at positions 355 to 776 of the family's 1533-position model. Lineage: Bacteria; Pseudomonadati; Gemmatimonadota. The record is from RNAcentral.
UAGGGAAUCUUCAGCAAUGGACGAAAGUCUGACCGAGCAACGCCGCGUGAGUGAAGAAGGUUUUCGGAUCGUAAAACUCUGUUGUUAGAGAAGAACAAGGACGUUAGUAACUGAACGUCCCCUGACGGUAUCUAACCAGAAAGCCACGGCUAACUACGUGCCAGCAGCCGCGGUAAUACGUAGGUGGCAAGCGUUGUCCGGAUUUAUUGGGCGUAAAGCGAGCGCAGGCGGUUUCUUAAGUCUGAUGUGAAAGCCCCCGGCUCAACCGGGGAGGGUCAUUGGAAACUGGGAGACUUGAGUGAAGAAGAGGAGAGUGGAAUUCCAUGUGUAGCGGUGAAAUGCGUAGAUAUAUGGAGGAACACCAGUGGCGAAGGCGGCUCUCUGGUCUGUAACUGACGCUGAGGCUCGAAAGCGUGGGGAGCAAACAGG